Molecule: long non-coding RNA, 1025 nt
Filed under: Fragaria vesca (wild strawberry)
Lineage: Eukaryota; Viridiplantae; Streptophyta; Magnoliopsida; Rosales; Rosaceae
Description: long non-coding RNA (FVES_LNC005017)
Source: RNAcentral
GUAGUAGCCCUAUAUAGACCCAUGAAUUUAUAUAGGGAGUAUGGACGAGUGUAAAUACAUACAUAUAUUAUAGAGUCUGAGAGGCUCGAUAUUUUAUGGGAUAAAGGUUUUAUCGCUUGCGGCAUGCAUUCGAUUUUUCCUUAGAAUUAAUUUGGGGAAACAUAAAUAUUUUAAUUAUUAAUUUAUUUUUGUCCACUCACUCUAACGUUAUUAAAUGUUUUUCUCCUGGGCCCUUCGUUUUAAAUUGCCCAGUCUGCAGAGUUCGGGUUGGAUCUAGUAGGAGACGAGGCAUAGUCACCCGCUUUUCGGCCAGUUUUCAUCAGUAGGUUACCUGUUCAACCUACUUGUGUUUUCUUGCUUCCGCUUGUGUUUAGUAGCUCUGAAUACUUUAGAAUUUUGUAUAUUAUGUGAUAUUCAGAAGCGUUAAAUUAAGAGUGUAAUAUGAAAUUUUUGAGUUAGGGUUGUCCAUCUGCAAGGGAGAUUUUCUUAAUCUUUUCAGUAAAUUUUCCUUGGAGGUGGUCCCCGCACGACUUACUCUGGGUUUCAGGGUGAAAUUCGGGGUGGGUCGUAUCAAUUCUGCUCUUUAGUCUUAACCAGCAAAUAAACAUGGCUCAGGCGUUAGCAUAGCAGGACUGAAGUUAGAGGAAUCUUGGACUGCUUAAGAAAUGAAGUUGGGCUAUGUUAAUCUUGUGAAACAAAACAUGCCCUUAAGGGUUGGGACUUGGGAGAAGCUCCUGAUAUAGUUCAUCAGGAUAUACUAUUCGAGAACUAUAAUUAAUACUUCUAAUUGGAGUUUAAAUACAAUGUUCUCCUCAGUUUAUGCUCACAAUUCUAUGAAUAAAAACAUGUGCGUUGGGUUGAGCUUUCCGGCUUUACAGUUUAAAACCCAAUUUUAGGAAAAAAAGAAAAAGAAAAAAGAAGAACAAUAUAUAUAUAUAUAUAUAUAUAUUUAUAUAUAUAUUAAUCUUUUACUCCAAAUAAUCAAUAAGAUAUGCCUCUUGCAGAUGAACAAUUUUGAAAUAAAA